This 305-nucleotide ribosomal RNA is filed under the name uncultured bacterium. RNAcentral's name for it is "bacterial SSU rRNA". It matches the Rfam family "Bacterial small subunit ribosomal RNA", at positions 336 to 638 of the family's 1533-position model. The record is from RNAcentral.
UUCCUACGGGAGGCAGCAGUGAGGAAUAUUGGUCAAUGGACGCAAGUCUGAACCAGCCAUGCCGCGUGCAGGAGGACGGCUCUAUGAAUUGUAAACUGCUUUUGUACGAGGGUAAACGCAGAUACGUGUAUCUGUCCGAAAGUAUCGUACGAAUAAGGAUCGGCUAACUCCGUGCCAGCAGCCGCGGUAAUACGGAGGAUUCAAGCGUUAUCCGGAUUUAUUGGGUUUAAAGGGUGCGCAGGCGGUCGGAUAAGUUAGAGGUGAAAUCACGAGGCUCAACUUCGGAAUUGCCUGUGAUCCUGUUU